UCCCUGGUGGCUCAGAUGGUAAAGCCUCUGCCUACAAGCCAGGAGACCCAGGUUCAAUCCCUGGGUUGGGAA
RNAcentral lists this transfer RNA (72 nucleotides) under Ovis aries (sheep). It matches the Rfam family "tRNA". From Rfam's summary of the family: Transfer RNA (tRNA) molecules are approximately 80 nucleotides in length. Their secondary structure includes four short double-helical elements and three loops (D, anti-codon, and T loops). Lineage: Eukaryota; Metazoa; Chordata; Mammalia; Artiodactyla; Bovidae. The record is from Rfam by way of RNAcentral.